Lactuca sativa (garden lettuce) is the source of this 119-nucleotide small nuclear RNA. RefSeq annotates it as U5 spliceosomal RNA. Lineage: Eukaryota; Viridiplantae; Streptophyta; Magnoliopsida; Asterales; Asteraceae. The record is from RefSeq and is a predicted model, not a curated record.
AGCCAUGUGUUAAGCACAAAGUGAACUAUAUUUUCCUCUUUUAUUAAAGAAUACCAUGUGAUUGCCAUAUUUAGUGGUAUAUGCCUAGUUUUGGAGAGUCUCCUCUUUGGUAGAGGACU